This 344-nucleotide ribosomal RNA is filed under the name uncultured Microgenomates group bacterium. Its description in RNAcentral is "bacterial SSU rRNA". It matches the Rfam family "Bacterial small subunit ribosomal RNA", at positions 1026 to 1382 of the family's 1533-position model. The record is from RNAcentral.
UGGUACGUACAGCUGUUGCAUGGCUGUCGUCAGCUCGUGACGUGAGUUGUUCUCUUAAGUGAGGUACGAGCGCAACCCCGUUCUGUGUUAUUGUGUCACAGAAGACUGCCUAGCAUUAUUUUGUUAGGAGGAAGGAGGGGACGACGUCAAGUCAUCAUGAUGCUUAUAUCCAGGGCUACACACAUCCUACAAUGGGCUAUAACAGAGGGUUGCAAGACCGCAAGGUGGAGCUAAUCCCUAAACUAGCCCUCAGUUGGGAUUGCAGGCUGAAACUCGCCUGCAUGAACCCGGAAUUGGUAGUAAUCGCACAUCAGCAGCGUGCGGUGAAUACGUUCUCGCCUCUU